ACUGCUUCGAAAGGAACAGAUGGAGGAGGGCAGUUACAGAUGUUUGGCUGGGAAAAUGGAAAGUAGACUGGUUGAGCAGCGCAAAUAACUCAUUAAUUCCUUAUGCUGAGAGAACACUAAUUUAUAAAUGAUAAAAGUAAAUUUAAGAGAAAAAAGUGAAAACUUCUUUUGUGUACAAGUAUCUCUUGUUAAGUCUUUAAAGAAAAAGUGAAGUCUCUUUUUUUUUAAGUAAGGUUGGAUUUUUUUAGAAGCUAAAAUAGGCCAAAAGUUUACCCUUGAAUGAGGGAAAUGUUUAGCUUAGGUUAUGCUUGGCCAGGAUCUUUUGUCAUGCAGCCCAGGGAAUAGGCAGAGCACAUUUAGUGAAUUCUGAGAUUAAAUUACAUGUCUCCUGGAGGAAGCAGAAACAUGGUCUGUUCUGUCAGCAAUUAAAAGCUAAAUAAAGAAAUAGAUUUUGACAAAUCUGUAGUGACUUCAAGGAACUUAGUAUAGGUUUCAGAGGUCCUGUGUAUUAACUUCAUCAGCUGCUUGCAAUGAUAUAUCUUAAUCUAGAAGUGGAAGUGGAAGCUGUAUAGGACCUUUUGGAAUUGCAUGUACCACACAUAUUAGAUGGUGAGUCCUGGCAAAGGAAAUUCAGAAUUUUAGUAACAUGGUGUAGGGUGUUAGGGUGUAUACAUCUGUGUGUCAGUGAUCUCUGUAGGGUUUGAUGUAACCUGUUGGUGGUAUUGUGAACAGUCUAAUCUGGGGGAGUGGGGAAGAGGCUGUAAUUCCUGAAAUCCAUACUUUAGCCAGUGUCAUGGCUAAACAUACAUUACAACAAUGCUUGCCUUUGGUGGGAAAAUGUUCAUAGCUGGGAAUUAUCUGGGUGGUUUUUAGAACUGUAUUCCCUGCACUCUGGGGCAGUAUGCUUUCUGUGAUAUCCUUUUUAUGUUGUGUUUCUUGUUAAAAUAAAUCAUAAGCUGCUGUGAUAAAUGGUUGAACAGGAAACACCUUGGUACCCUCAGUGCCUUAAAAUAAGAGGUAGAAGAAAUCUUUGCCAAAAGGAAGCUGAUAAAUAAUUGCACCAGCACGCAGGGAUUUGGCUGUGUUAGAACAUUCUGCUCCAAGGGGAAACUAAGGCAAAAAUAUGCAAAGUUUGGAGAUCUUACAGUGACUGAAAAGAUACUUAAAACCCCUCCCUUCUGUCUUUACUUAUGUGAGCAGGUGGCUGUAAGCUCACCUUGCUGAAAAGCUGAUGAAGAAGAGAGAAAUCCCCAAAGUAAAUGUAUUUAAGAGUAAAGGAGGACUUGAAACAAAAGGAUAGGUUACAGGUGACAAAUCUAACACUUGUAUCACUGAAUCAAAGCUGGAGAAGAUAAUGAGUACAGUUUAAUUUGGGGGGAAGAGCUGCAUAAUUAAGUAAAAUGGGUUGGUUGAUUGGCCUGAAUGUUAAAUAGAACAUAGAAAGCACUGUGCAUCAACAUAAGUUUGGGGUUUUUGUUUGCUGUUUUUUUUUUUACCUUUUAGGGCUUUUUCCUUCAUCCCCUUUCCCUCUCCCUCCAUUUUAUAACACUGCUGCUCAGAAAUAUUCUUCUCCAUCUUACCCAUAGCCAUAAAUACAGCAAUAGAAGUACUUUUGUACAUUACUGUGUCUACAUUUGGGGAUUUUACAGCUAUAUUUCUUUCUAAAUUUGUAUUGCUUUGUAUUACUGAGGCAUUGUGUUAAAAACAAACCAAAAAAAAAAAGAAAAGAAAAAAAAACACAAAAAACCAAGCCCACACUGCACAGAUAUGACCUAAUCUUUCCUUGGAAAGGAUAGUUAUGACCUUUCCUUUGAGAAAGCCUUGACUGUGUGUUUUUGCUGCAGAUAUUUUGACAGAAGCAGCUGAAGUACAGAUGAGUCCUUUUCUUAGUCCCAUGACUGCCACUCAGAUUUGUCAGGAUGUAAGUAUUAAAAAGAAGGACUUCCCUUUGCAGAGUUAAACCUCUUUUUGCAGUAGUUCCAGGUGUUGUCUGGAAGCAGGAGGGAGUUUUCAGAUCACGUAUGACAGGGGGAGGUACAGGAAUGUCAGAGUGGGCUCUGCCCUCAAAGCUGCCAGCUGUUAACCCUGAUAGAUUAUCUUUCCUCUAGAGCUGCAGUGGAGGAAGGACAUAAGAGUUGCUGUUCGCUAGUAUCUGUUUGUGAUGAGUGAAGAAGCUUCUGUCCAUGACUAAAAUUAUCCCUGCACCCCAGGGUACCAGCAGCAGCACUGUGCCACGGUGACAAAGUUUCCAGGGUUGCUGCUUAGUGAGAAUUUCUGCAGGGUGCUGUUUGUAUUUGAAAUUGUUUAUGCACCUUGAAUUCUGUCCCCUUAAGUGCUGACAUGACACAGUAAAUUAUGUGCUGAAUGUGAUCUUCAGCACAGCCACUCUCUGAUUAAAUUCUGGGAAUGCAGAUUAAAAUUUUAGUCAAAGGCAAGUUCUGCAUUUCUUAGUGCCCAACUUACAUCUUCUCAAUUUUUUGAUGUAGGAUAUUAUGUGGAUCAGGUAAUAUCUGGAUUUGAAAGGGGGAAGUUCCUGUAUUUGCCUACAUUGUCUCAGAUCUCUGGUGGAACUCUGUUGCAUUGUUGUAGUCUAUUUAUGCCUUCCUGCAAGUUCUGGAAGUGCUGAAGCUGCAGAAAGCACAAGUGUGGUUUUGAGCAGCUUUACAGCAUGUUCUGUUUUAAUCACUUUCAUCAGUUUUAUCAUGCAGUGAGAGCUGUGUGCUGUAUCUCCUUAUUGUGGGAGGAGAAGGGGAAAUUUAAGUUGUAAUUAAACCCAAUUUUAAUAUAUAGUUUGCAUAUGAAAAUCAUAAAUGUAAAUGUUACAACCUUUCCUAGGACUGUUUGAGCACUACAAAACAAUAAGUGGUGGGGUGAACAAUUCCACAACAGCAAUUAAAAUACAAGUCUAUGAGUGGCACUUCCUUGUCCAUAGUUUCAGAAUUAGGAAAAAGAGGAUUUUUCAGUUUUGUUCUCAGAGCAACAGCUUCAUAACGCUGAUAUAACACUAAGUAGAAAACACAAAUUGCUCCAGAUUCUGCACAAUUGCACAUUUGAUCUGUCCCAGGAAUUUUGUAUUGGCUGGUUAAAGUAAUUUGACUAGGAAAGAGUCUAUGCACUACUGGUAUCGGGACAGAUACUGGGGUAAAAAAUGGGUGCAUUGCCUGACUGUUCUGCCAAGUUUAAGGUGGUUCUUCCUAGGUAGGAUGUGUGUGCUCUUAGCUUCCAUCCAAAAUUAUAAGUAUUGACCAAAGCAGAUGACUUUUGAUUUGUUUAGCUAACGAAUAGCGUGAUGUAAGAGUACAGAGGUAUUGCUGCCAAAGCAGCCCUUGGAUAAGAAAUUAGCAGGAGCUUUGAAUUUCACAUUCAGCUUUAAAAAUGGAUAUUUAAACAGUAAGGUAGGGGCUCAGGAAAUAUUAGCUAGUGUUAAGUAUCUACAUUGAAAGUUGUUUUCCAAAAUGCUUUCGGAAGGUGGUGGUUCUGUUUAACUGUCAUUGAUUGGGUAGGCUGCUACUCAGGUUUCUGACUUAGUUGUGGCUUUUGUUCUUCUCUGUAGCAAGCACUGUUUUUAAGACAUUCAAAGAUCAAUUCAAAUGCUGUGCACGUUUAAAAUCAUGAUUUUAGAUAUUUAAGUAACCUUAGCGGUUUUAUAAGAACACAGUAUUUAAUUGGCAGUUGUUUGAGUGACUGUAAGGUAGACAAAAGAUUAAAAAAUGGAGCAGAACCUACCUAAUGUGAAAAAUCACCCCUGACUCACGACCAAACAUUGUCUCAGUAUGCUUAGUGCAGCAUUUUUUUCUCAGAAUGUUUCCCGUGUUUGUUAGAUGGCUUAGCUCCAGCAGUGCUUUAACAUAGUCAGCUUGUUCUUUUCUUGUAGGUCUCACUGAUUAUGUUUUCCUUCUCUUCACUACUGAAGUCUGUAAUGUAAGCUGUAUAUUCCUUUUUCUUCCCUGAUUUAUGUAUUUCCUCACAGAUAUAAACUCUUCCAUUUUCUGUAGCUUCCAUGCAACGUGUAAAACAGGAUUUAUUUUUCUGUCCCAUGAGAACUGUACUUUUUAAACCUUUUCAUAUGACACUGUGAUCUGAGGAAGCUUGGACAGGCAGCACUCCUGGUGUUAUGGUAUGGUUAGGAGGGCAAGAGAUGCUGAAAUACUGAGCCUGAUGAAUUUGAGUGUUUGGCACCUUUCCAAAUUUUAUCACCUUUUGGGGCUAUAUAAAUGUGUAUUUCAUGAUACGGCCAUACAAAUGAUGUUGCCUACAUCACAACAUCUUGGUAAGUCCCAGUUGUGUAUGUUAGUCAAAAUAGCAGCUGCAGCAAACAGCCCAAGUGAUAUUUUUUUUUUUACC
Lagopus muta (rock ptarmigan) is the source of this 4344-nucleotide long non-coding RNA. RefSeq lists it as uncharacterized. The record is from RefSeq and is a predicted model, not a curated record. NCBI's taxonomy places the organism in Eukaryota, Metazoa, Chordata, Aves, Galliformes, Phasianidae. The transcript is spliced from 2 exons.